UGGUAUGUGAAUAACAGUAGUUAAAACCAUUUGACCAAAGGAUUCCACUACUGAUAUUUUAAUACCGGUAGUGAAAAGUUCAUAGACAAGCGAUUUCACUACUGGUUUUCUUAAAUCAGUAGUGAAAAGUAGACACGGUGGCAAUGUUGUAAUUACAUUAAAAUUUGUUUUAAUUGGAUUUCACUACCGAUUUGGAUUUUACCCGUAGUGGAAUCCCUAUUAGUGUUCAUUAAUUAAUUGUUCAUUCUCAUUCUUCAUUCUUCAUAUCGUUCCCAAUUUCUUCCCUUGCGAGAACACACAGCGCCGUUCCCUAAUUUCUUCAUUCUUCAUUCUCAUUUUUCAUCGUUCCCAAAUUUCUUCCCAAUUUCUUCCCAAAUCGCCAUCGUCCCUAAUUUCUUCCCAAUUUUCAUUCCCAAAUCGCCAAAUCCCUAAAAAUCCCAAAGAAUUUCUUCAAUCAUUCUCCAAACCCUAGACGGCGACCCCUUUAUCAUUCUCCAAAUUUGCUUCAAUCUGCGGUGACAAGCUUCAAUCUACGGUAACAAUCCCUUUUUCUCUCUAUUCUUCAUUUUUUUAUAACCUAAAUUCAAUUCAUAUUUUAAAUUUUUUUCUUCAAUUUGGUUUAUUAGGUUACCAGUGGAGUUGGGUUGCAAAAGUAUCGAUUUGUUUGGAUAGAAAGAGUUGGGUUGGUGUUUACUUCCUCAAGGUGCGUUUUUUCCAAAUUCAAACUGUUAUGGGUUGGUGUUGAGUUGGAAUGUUCUACUGCUAGCACAUUGAGUAUCGCUCAACAGUCACAACAAGUUUUCACCAAAAUCCACUAAAAUCUCACUAUGCUCGCGCUCUAAAUUAACCUCAACAUCAGAGUUUUUAUUUUGAUUCAAAUUCGAUUCUUUAUGCUACAUUUAUC
RNAcentral lists this long non-coding RNA (904 nucleotides) under Trifolium pratense (red clover). Its description in RNAcentral is "long non-coding RNA (TPRA_LNC011856)". Lineage: Eukaryota; Viridiplantae; Streptophyta; Magnoliopsida; Fabales; Fabaceae. The record is from RNAcentral.